RNAcentral lists this ribosomal RNA (253 nucleotides) under uncultured bacterium. RNAcentral's name for it is "partial 16S ribosomal RNA". It matches the Rfam family "Bacterial small subunit ribosomal RNA", at positions 524 to 776 of the family's 1533-position model. The record is from RNAcentral.
UACGAAGGGGGCUAGCGUUGUUCGGAAUUACUGGGCGUAAAGCGCAUGUAGGCGGCGAUUCAAGUCGGGGGUGAAAUCCUGAGGCUCAACCUCAGAACUGCCUUCGAUACUGUUUUGCUAGAGUAUGGAAGAGGUAGGUGGAACUGCGAGUGUAGAGGUGAAAUUCGUAGAUAUUCGCAAGAACACCAGUGGCGAAGGCGGCCUACUGGUCCAUCACUGACGCUGAGAUGCGAAAGCGUGGGGAGCAAACAGG